GUCCUGUUGUCCCAGCUGAAUGGCAGGAACAAGAACCAAGCCAUCAAUGAAUAUGCCCUACUGGUCAUCAGGUACCCAGUUGGAAUUGUAACCUGGCCAAGAGAAGAACUGGUCACCAUGGAUAUCAAGACCCAGAAACUACUCACUAUGAAUGGAGGAUUCCACCUGAAAUCAAGCACCCAGACAUUGUACACAAGCCUGAAGGAAGGAGGUCGGGGACUGAUGAGUGUCAAGGCCACAGUCCUAGUUGAAACACAGAGCAUC
Molecule: non-coding RNA, 264 nt
Organism: Pelobates cultripes (western spadefoot toad)
Lineage: Eukaryota; Metazoa; Chordata; Amphibia; Anura; Pelobatidae
Source: the annotation of a GenBank genome assembly